RNAcentral lists this ribosomal RNA (269 nucleotides) under uncultured prokaryote. Its description in RNAcentral is "partial 16S ribosomal RNA". It matches the Rfam family "Bacterial small subunit ribosomal RNA", at positions 524 to 792 of the family's 1533-position model. The record is from RNAcentral.
UACGUAGGUGGCAAGCGUUAUCCGGAUUUACUGGGUGUAAAGGGCGUGUAGGCGGUUUUGCAAGUCAGAUGUGAAAUCUCCGGGCUUAACCCGGAAACUGCAUCUGAAACUGCAGAACUUGAGUACUGGAGAGGAUAGUGGAAUUCCUAGUGUAGCGGUAAAAUGCGUAGAUAUUAGGAGGAACACCAGUGGCGAAGGCGACUAUCUGGACAGUAACUGACGCUGAGGCGCGAAAGCGUGUGGAGCAAACAGGAUUAGAUACCCCGGUA